UUUUGAAGCGGCAUCGUCUUCUGGGGCAAAUACCCGAGGUUCAUUGUCUCAGGCCAAGGAAAUCAAGGAUGUGGACACACAAGAAAUGCGGUCUCUACCUGGCCUCCCCCAUGUUGACUGCUUUUGUACUGCACCCAUGGAGACAAAGAAAAGACAAAGAAGACGGAACCUCCAUGUUGAAUAUACCUGGUUCCAGGGCGAGGUUCAGCAAUUACAAUAGUGACAUCAGAGAUCGCUGAUAACAGAUCAUCAUCACAGAUGUGAUAACAAGAAAAAAAUGAGAUAUUUUUAUCAUUGAUGUGAUGGCAAAUAUUGAGUAUCAACUUGAUUGAAUUGAAGGAUGCAAGGUAUUAUUCCUGGGUGUG
Molecule: long non-coding RNA, 365 nt
Filed under: Homo sapiens (human)
Lineage: Eukaryota; Metazoa; Chordata; Mammalia; Primates; Hominidae
Description: HSALNT0355648
Source: RNAcentral